This is a long non-coding RNA of Rosa rugosa (rugosa rose), 520 nucleotides long. RefSeq lists it as uncharacterized. The transcript has 3 exons. Lineage: Eukaryota; Viridiplantae; Streptophyta; Magnoliopsida; Rosales; Rosaceae. The record is from RefSeq and is a predicted model, not a curated record.
CGGUGGCCUACAGCUCUGCAAGGGUGAGUAUCAGAAAAUUGGACUAGAUGAGUAAAGUAUUCAAAGCAAUGUGCAAUCCUUGUGCUAAUGUUUCAAUUUGGUAUAUUUCCAGAUGUCUGGAAAUAAUUGGAAAAGACUUGAUAAUGUUUUAGGAACAUUGAUAAAUCCCUCUGGUGAAAUGUCCUGUGCUGGGUUAAGUGAACAAAACUGAAUUUGAUGCAAGGGGGAAGUUUCAGCAGUACAUAAGGUAGAAAGACAGCAAUCUAUCCAUUUCUUUACAACAGUUUCUUCCUUUCUCUUCUUUCACCUGUUUAUCAGGUAUCAUGUUUCUGAUUGUUCUUCAUGGCUUCAUGACUAAAGAACAUGUACUUGAGAACUAUUGAUGUCCUGGCAUCAAGGCUUUACUUCUAUUACUCCCUUAGCUAUGAAUAUACUUGUGAUCUCGCAGAAAUUAGAGGGUGAGUUGUAUCUUAUGAUUCUUUUUUAUGUACAAAUGUCUCGAUGUUAAGAACAAUGUCUA